AGAGUUUGAUCAUGGCUCAGAACGAACGCUGGCGGCAGGCUUAACACAUGCAAGUCGAACGCCCCGCAAGGGAGUGGCAGACGGGUGAGUAACGCGUGGGAAUCUACCCAGAUCUUCGGAACAACUGAGGGAAACUUCAGCUAAUACCGGAUACGCCCUACGGGGGAAAGAUUUAUCGGAUCUGGAUGAGCCCGCGUUGGAUUAGCUAGUUGGUGAGGUAAUGGCUCACCAAGGCGACGAUCCAUAGCUGGUCUGAGAGGAUGAUCAGCCACACUGGGACUGAGACACGGCCCAGACUCCUACGGGAGGCAGCAGUGGGGAAUAUUGGACAAUGGGCGAAAGCCUGAUCCAGCCAUGCCGCGUGAGUGAUGAAGGCCUUAGGGUUGUAAAGCUCUUUCAGUAGGGAAGAUAAUGACGGUACCUACAGAAGAAGCCCCGGCUAACUUCGUGCCAGCAGCCGCGGUAAUACGAAGGGGGCCAGCGUUGUUCGGAUUUACUGGGCGUAAAGCGCACGUAGGCGGAUCGUUAAGUCGGGGGUGAAAUCCUGGAGCUCAACUCCAGAACUGCCUUCGAUACUGGCGAUCUUGAGUCCGGAAGAGGUGAGUGGAACUCCUAGUGUAGAGGUGGAAUUCGUAGAUAUUAGGAAGAACACCAGUGGCGAAGGCGGCUCACUGGUCCGGUACUGACGCUGAGGUGCGAAAGCGUGGGGAGCAAACAGGAUUAGAUACCCUAGUAGUCC
RNAcentral lists this ribosomal RNA (739 nucleotides) under uncultured bacterium. RNAcentral's name for it is "bacterial SSU rRNA". It matches the Rfam family "Bacterial small subunit ribosomal RNA", at positions 8 to 796 of the family's 1533-position model. The record is from RNAcentral.